Molecule: non-coding RNA, 732 nt
Organism: Aegilops tauschii subsp. strangulata
Lineage: Eukaryota; Viridiplantae; Streptophyta; Magnoliopsida; Poales; Poaceae
Source: RefSeq, a predicted model, not a curated record
AAGUACAGCUUAUCCAGAGACACCAAUUGGGAGAGGUACAACAUAUGCAUUUCAAAGAGAACUGGACUCUGCUAUUUCUGAUUUCACCAAGGACUCCAGUAAUAACCACAUUAUGAAAUGGGCGAUAAUCAGCGACGCUAUUUACAUCAGUGAUGAUGAAGGUAAGCACCGCCAUAAACGCCAACGUGCCAAAAAGACAAGGGGUCGAGCUCCAUGUAGCGAACCAUGUCUUUGUGAGAGGACCUUAACAAGAGAUUGUUCUUCGCAAGUUAGACUGAACUCUUACGCAUAGGACCAAUAUGGUGCGAACUAUGGGGCAAACCAUCGCUCACUAUCCACAAGCGGUCAGUUAAAAGAACAUAACCGUAUUAUCCAUGAUUUUUUUGGCUGUGGCUUGAUUGGUUAAACUAAAUACUCACAGCAGGUUCAUGUGACGUGCCAUGUGAGAAGUCGAACGUGAAGACAAUCACGUGAAGUUAUCAAAUAGUAUGCUUUAGUUGAACUGUAUAGGUGCGCUCUGGCUUGAUUUUGUUGUCUAACUCUACUCUGUGUAUCUAACUUAAUGUGAAUUGAUCGUCCUGCCUUAGUUUUGGAACAAAGAAAUGUUUCCCUUUUAUUAUGAGCCUCCAGAUCAUUUGUUGUACUGAUUAAAUAUUUCCUACUCACCUUGCUUUUGGUAUACCCAACAUUGUUCUUGAUUUACUUUUGGAACACAAUAUAUGUUUCCCCUUA